AUGCCACCCAAGGCUCCCAAGGCACCCAUCACGUGCAACUGGAUGAGAUCCAAUGUUACUGAUGACACUUUAGCUGAUUUCGUGAAGACGGGUUACCUGCCCAAAAAGGAGGUCAUGUCUUAUCGUGCCCCUGACCCGUCGGAGGAAAGGCCUCAACCAAGAGAAGGAGAAGUUGUGAUAUUUGCUAAUCACAUGAGCCGGGGCUUCGCACCUCCCGGCUCAAAAUUCUUUAGGGAUGUUCUGAACUUCUUCGAUCUGCGGCCGCAAGACAUAGGACCCAAUUCCGUGUCAAAUAUUUGUAACUUUCAAGUAUUCUGCGAAGUAUAUCUUGGAGAAGAGCCCAGCCUCCUGCUCUUUAGGGAGCUAUUUUAUCUGAACCGCCAGAACGAGUGCGCCAACGGGCCGAGCUUGGAACCCUGUGGAAUUCCAUUCAACGACGGAGAGAUUGCCUCUUUCCUUAUGCUGAGCCGCCAAGCCAUCCAAAGGACUGGAACCAGACAUGGUUCUACUGCCAGGAUACUUCUCCGGCUGACGAGAGCCCUCUGCCCGGCUUUCGUGCCCUGCGUCUGGAGCCAAACCACCCCCUGCUAG
Molecule: ribosomal RNA, 591 nt
Filed under: Triticum aestivum (bread wheat)
Lineage: Eukaryota; Viridiplantae; Streptophyta; Magnoliopsida; Poales; Poaceae
Description: partial small subunit ribosomal RNA
Source: RNAcentral